Long non-coding RNA from Anas platyrhynchos (mallard), 5065 nucleotides. RefSeq lists it as uncharacterized. NCBI's taxonomy places the organism in Eukaryota, Metazoa, Chordata, Aves, Anseriformes, Anatidae. The record is from RefSeq and is a predicted model, not a curated record.
CGCCGGGCCCCCCGCGCCGCCUCCGCCGCCCGCCGCCGGGUUGGCGGCGCCGCACUGGUUGUAGGGCUCCCCACAUCCCGAGGACACCGCUGAUAAACCCAGGAUAAUCAGCCCGGAGGAACAGGGCCACUGCUGGCACCAUGGCUGCUCCCCCAGCACUGCAGGCAUUGUCCUGCUUGGACAAGCAGCUUCUCUGCGACCGAUCCCACCGCCUGGUCCCUCGUGUCUUGGUGUGCGACUGCUGUGACACCACGGCAAUCCUGAUCCCGCAGGGUCAGAGCUGCCUUUCCAUGCCAGGCAGAGGCCAAAAGCACGAUGGCUGGCACCUUCCUGGCCAGGAAGGGUCCUUAUUUUGCAUCUGGGGUUCAAGAGGCAGCUCACUGCAUCCUAGAGUGCCCUGGAAGGCCUCUAGGGCAUCCUAGAGGAAAUUGGAGGUCACUGGGAGGCUUUCCGGGGGAGCUAGAGGGCACUUGGUGGCCCUGAUAGACCUGUGGGGGACCUAGAGGGCAGCGGAGGACCACAGGAGGCCUCCAGUGUGCUUCGGGGUGCACUAGAGAGCCCUGCGAGGCCUUCAGAAGCCACUAUAUUCCAGAAAGAGUCUUAUUUUGCCUCUAGGGUGCAAGAGAUGUCUCGUAUGGCACCCUGAACUGCUCUAGGCCUGCUGCUGACCCACUAAGGGGCAACAGCAGGCUCAUAGGACACUGUAGAAUGCCCUGGAAGGCAUCCUAGAGGAAAAAGGGGUCACUGUGAGGCUGGAUGCCCUGUGAGCCCCCUCUUGCACCCUAGAGGCAUAAUAAGCACUCUUACGGGAAUCUAGAGGCCCCCAGAAGCCUCGCAGGACUCUAGGGCACUCUCAGGCACAUCGGAGGCCUCCUGUGGUCCUCCCCUGCACUCUAGAUGCGGUGUAGUUCUACCUGGGUCACUCAGUGCCCUCUAGCUCCCAAGUAAAACUUCUCAGUGACCUCCAGUUUCCUCUAGGUUGCCCUAGAGGUCUCCCAGGCCACUGUAGGAUGCCCUAGGAGCAACUUCUUGAAUCCAAGAGGCAAAAUAAAGACUCUGCCUAAGAUCUAGAAGCCUCUAGGGUGUCCUACAAGCCCGCUGUUGAACACUCGAGGCAAAGUACACAUCCAGGUAUCUAGUGGUCUAACACCAAUUAUGACACAUACGUUACCAGUUUCUCCCAUCAAAAAGUGCUCCCAACAGAAGCUUUUGGGUACACCUGAACUCUCUUUGAGAUCCUUUAUGCAACCCCACACACAACACGUCUCUGCACCUUCUCUCUUUCCGCACAACCCUAACCAGAACGCUGAGCCCAACCCUAAUUAGGACCCUAAAAAACAUGCAUGGCACCACUUUCUCCCAUCAAAAAGUUCUCCCAACGGAAGCCUUUGGGUAGACUUGUGCUCCCUUUGGGAGCCUUUAUGCAACCCUUCAGUGCCUCGAGGUGUGUGUGCAUGUCAGAGCAAAUGCAUGGUCCUUGAUUCAACAUGCUUGGGAAGGCAGUGUGCUGUCUUCCCCUUCUGUUUUGCGUGCCUUUGCCAUACCAUUUUUGUUACUGCACAAAGACAUGCUCAUUGCAUUGCUUCAAAGCUUUGAGACCCUUGUAUAGCUGAGGGACCUCCCAGAUUAAUCUCUGUGGCCAGUGCCACGGCACAUCACUGCGGUAUUGUUACAUCACUAGUUGGGACUGAGAGCUUCCGACCUGGUUCUGUAUCACAUUAUCGAAUACCUAUUUCUGCUGCAUAACCUACCAGCGGGCUUGUGCUGCAUUUUUUUUAAAGCUGUGUUACACUAAAUGGGGAAUCUCCCCUAACCACAGCUAUGCUGGGGUUCAGAGCUGGGUGUCAUAAUUGUCCCUUCUGGCAUCUAAUCUGUGCAUGCAGGAAUGCGUAGGAAACUUUAGAGGGACGUUGCUUUUUCUUGUGAAAUAUUUCUAGUAUUACUGAUAACUGAGCAUUGCAUACAGACUCUUUCAAAAACACCGCGUCGGUUUUGAUUUCACACCAUUUGCUCAGCACGUCACAGACUCACACCCCCUUGAUGGCCGAGCUGCUUCCAUGCAGUUCAGUGUUGCCUUUUUUUUUUUUUUUUUUUUAUUCACAAAUACAACGUCUGGAUGCCUGGAUGGUGCCUGCGCGAAGCCUGCUGGUUCCCGUUCCAUCCUGUUUGGGUUUCCUCUGCCUUGUACAGGCCAUAAACAUUAGAGGGAGCUGCAGACUGCUGCAUGUCCCCGUGCGCAGCUGGAAGGUUGGACACUUCAUGGUUGCAUGGAGCCUCAUCCAGGGCAGGUGGCACCAGCUGGUCCCCUGCCCACCAUGCUGGCCAUGCCGCAGCUAAUUAGAGCUUAUGUGUUUGGCACGUGAUUAAAUGAAUGAAAAAUGAUUCAUUUUGUGGUGGUAGCUUGAGGCUCAAAUCCAGGCCAAUGGAAAGAAAGCUAUGACAGAAAUAAGAAGGGAUCAUGUGGACAGCACAAAAGUGUGCUCAGGAUGCUGUCACCUGGGCAGGGGUGCAGGAAGGCACCACGGGAUGGGGCGAGGUGUUCGCUAGUCACCAAAGCAGCAGCAAUCAGCAGCAUUAUUAGACAAAGAAAUACAGUCAAAAAUAGUGCCAUCUGGGAGAAUUUAACUUCCCAGAAAUAAAGCUGAGAAUGAACGCUCCUAAAAAUGGCAAAGCACCGUUAUUUCUGGAUCUGAUAGCCAACAGAUUUCUUCACAAAUCAGGCACUCAGCAAAAGGCGGUACUAUUUUAGACUGGGUUUUUAGGAAGUAAUUGUAAUGCAACAAAAAGGCUAACCACGGUAGUGAUUCUUGGUGGAGGAAUCAGUGAAACUCAGCUGAUGCUGGAGGAAGGCUGGCCAAAUAGAGACCUGGAAAUAGGGGUCUGUCGCACAAGGGCCAGCUACAAGCAGCUGAAAGCCCAUGGUAGUGGAAUCGGUGGGGCUGGAGCACUUGGCGGUCAGGGACAGAGAACACCCAUUGAGUCUGUACAUUGUAGAGGCAAAAAAAACACUUAUAUUUGCAAUAAGCAUUCCAAGCAAAAGACUGGCAUAGCCAGAGAGGGCUGGCCAAACAGCUCGGUCAGACUGUGACAGGCUUUCAGGAGCACUGGAGAGGAGACCACGCGGCAAGACAAACCGCAGCGUGGGUGUUAGCAAGAGCAGGGCUAAAAUGAGACUUGCUAAACCCCAUGCUUGAGCAAUGAGCGCUUAUUUAAGCCUCUGGCCAGGUGAGCAGAUGCGUCACCAGCCUGGUGGUGUGCUCUGGCCAUGGCAGCAGUGGCUCUCCCACAUUCAGGGAGCUUAGGCUGCUCUGCACUGUCCCACCGAGGGCUACAUGAUCCAUCCAGUGCACUGGGUGCUGUCGGGGAGAACCUGCAUGCCCACGGCACAGCUACAAACCAGCCACUAAAAUGGUACAUUCUACCACAAAAAAAAAAAAAAAAAAAAAAAAAAAAAAAAAAAAAUCUCUAAUUGGUUUGUUUUGUUUGCCUGGACAGGUGCCGUAAUCCACUGCAAAACACACAGGAGUUCUUUCCUUCCCUGCCUGCCCUGUAAACCAUUUUAAAAGCAGAAAAAGGAAAAUUAUUUUUUUUUUGUCCAGUGCAAAUCCUUCAUUCCUCCCUCUCUGCACACUCAGGGUGGUUCUGGGGCUGGUGACCACCAAGGAGCCCAUGUUCCUUACAAAAGACUUUGUCCAAGCAGGACAAGGUGUGGGUUGUCCACCGACACCAGCACAGCCAUGCUUCGUCCCCCAAAAAACACUGACACCACUUGCAGUGUGGUGAGCCGACAAAACACCAACACCACUUCCAGCGACACGAGCUACUGCACCCCACAAGGCCACAGGCCCUGCCGUGUCACCUGGGUGCCACCAAGACAGCCAACGCUAUCGCCUUUCCCCCCGUGAGAUGUUUGUCACCGCGAAGCAUCGCGGCCACGUUAACAGCUCCCUCCUCUCAGCGUGAGCAACUAUUUUGGGCCGAUGCUGCAGCACCCAAGCAGCGCAGGUUAUUUCAGCUCAGGGCAUGGCUAUUUUCAGCACUGCCCUUCCCUGCGUGUGCUUUGCCCCAGCGUCCAACCGCAGGGUGCUUUUUGGGGGCGGUGGAGAGGAACGGGGACGUCAUGGGGGGGAACGGUUUGCCAAGGUUAAUGCCCAAAGCAGAAACCUUUGCCCCCAUCCACCUGGAUCCACCCAGCCUCUUAGGGGAGAAACCAUGAAAAAAGGGAGUGUUUCUGGAGCAGAAAGCUGACAGUCCGAUGCCAGGAGAGACAACACAAGAGGGGAAGGAGAGUGAUGGGGCUGGGAGAAGCAUGAACAAGGUGGGAAGAGGAGGGCAGAGGGCUGGAUGCUGCAGAAACACCCAGGGUCACAGUGCAAUGGCUCCAGAAAAACAGCUCAGCGGGAUGAAUGGGGCACCCCCUGCUCAUCCCCAUCCUCUGGGGCCUUCAGCUCUGGUGCCACCCAAGCACCCCAGGAGAGGACACACAGCCCAGCCGUGCUGGACAGACCCCCAUAGCACAGGAAGCAGGUGAACCAUUUGUCAAGCAGCAAGCAUGGAUUCCUCCAGAGACAGCAGCAUCACUGAGGUUGUCCCCACAAGCCCCAGGGAGGACACCACCAGAGGGUGACACCAACCAGGCACUUUCUUCUGGCCGGUUUCCCCCUCCCACCACCCCACAGAGGAAGGCAGGCCUGUCUGGGAACACAGCGAUCACAAAACAGAGCUGGGAGAAGUGACCCAGCUCUCCGGUAGGUCUCAAUGCAUUUUUAUUAAAUUCUUACAAAACAGAAUACAAAAUUCUGGCAUCAACAAUUGUUAUAAAGGAAAACUUCAAUUCAGCUGUAUCAGUUCACCUGGUACAUACAGUAAAGUGCUUGUUUUUUGUUUUUUAUCCUUUUUAAUUUUUUUUGUUUGUUUUCAUUUUUAUUUUCCAGCCAGCCCCCGAGCAGAGGCUGCCUGUGUACAAACCAACAGUGCGUUAACGUGACUCUUGUCGAACCAGCUUUGGCAGUCUUCAUCAAUUGUAAAGUGGAGAAAGUUUCUCCUAUUCCGAUAAAAAAAAAAA